UACGUAGGGUGCGAGCGUUAAUCGGAAUUACUGGGCGUAAAGCGUGCGCAGGCGGUUCGUUGUGUCGGUGGUGAAAUCCCUCGGCUUAACCGGGGAACUGCGUCCGAUACUGGAUGACUUGAGUUCGGGAGAGGGAUGCGGAAUUCCAGGUGUAGCGGUGAAAUGCGUAGAUAUCUGGAGGAACACCGGUGGCGAAGGCGGCAUCCUGGACCGACACUGACGCUGAGGAGCGAAAGCCAGGGGAGCAAACGGG
Molecule: ribosomal RNA, 253 nt
Filed under: uncultured bacterium
Lineage: Bacteria
Description: partial 16S ribosomal RNA
Rfam family: Bacterial small subunit ribosomal RNA
Source: RNAcentral